RNAcentral lists this ribosomal RNA (253 nucleotides) under uncultured bacterium. RNAcentral describes it as "partial 16S ribosomal RNA". It matches the Rfam family "Bacterial small subunit ribosomal RNA", at positions 524 to 776 of the family's 1533-position model. The record is from RNAcentral.
UACGUAGGUGGCAAGCGUUGUCCGGAUUUACUGGGCGUAAAGGAUGCGUAGGCGGACAUUUAAGUCAGUUGUGAAAUACCCGAGCUUAACUUGGGUGCUGCAUUUGAAACUGGGUGUCUAGAGUGCAGGAGAGGUAAGUGGAAUUCCUAGUGUAGCGGUGAAAUGCGUAGAGAUUAGGAAGAACACCAGUGGCGAAGGCGACUUACUGGACUGUAACUGACGCUGAGGCAUGAAAGCGUGGGGAGCAAACAGG